This is a long non-coding RNA of Oncorhynchus kisutch (coho salmon), 137 nucleotides long. RefSeq lists it as uncharacterized. The transcript has 3 exons. The record is from RefSeq and is a predicted model, not a curated record. NCBI's taxonomy places the organism in Eukaryota, Metazoa, Chordata, Actinopteri, Salmoniformes, Salmonidae.
UUACCUGGUCAUUAGUUACCUCUAUCAUUUAUCUGGUCAUUAGUUAUCUGGUCAUUAGUUACCUCUAUCAUUUAUCUGGUCAUUAAUUACCUCUAUCAUUUAUCUGGUCAUUAGUUACCUCUAUCAUUUAUCUGGUC